This 551-nucleotide ribosomal RNA is filed under the name Stenotrophomonas maltophilia. RNAcentral describes it as "bacterial SSU rRNA". It matches the Rfam family "Bacterial small subunit ribosomal RNA", at positions 84 to 632 of the family's 1533-position model. Lineage: Bacteria; Pseudomonadati; Pseudomonadota; Gammaproteobacteria; Lysobacterales; Lysobacteraceae. The record is from RNAcentral.
ACGGGUGGCGAGUGGCGGAGGGGUGAGGAAUACAUCGGAUCUACUUUUUCGUGGGGGAUAACGUAGGGAAACUUACGCUUAUACCGCACACCACCUACGGGUGAAAGCGGGGGAUCUUCGGACCUUGCGCGAUUGAAUGAGCCGAUCUCGGAAUAGCUUGUUGGCGGGGUAAAGGCCCACCAGGGCCACUAUCCAUAUCUUGUCUGAGAGGAUGAUCAGCCACACUGGAACUGAGACACGGUCCAGACCCCUACGGGAGGCAGCAGUGGGGAAUAUUGGACAAUGGGCGCACGCCUGAUCCCGCCAUACCGCGUGGGUGAAGAAGGCCUUCGGGUUGUAAAGCCCUUUUGUUGGGAAAGAAAUCCCGCCCGCUAACACCUGGUUGGGAUGACUGUACCCAAAGAAUAAGCACCGGCAAACUUCGUGCCAGCAGCCGCGGUAAUACAAAGGGUGCACGCGUUACUCGGAAUUACGGGGCGUAAAGCGUGCGUAGGUUGUCGUUUAAGUCCUUUGUGAAAGCCCUGGGCUCAACCUGGGAACUGCAGUGGAUA